UUAAGUGAAUAAGGGCGUACGGUGGAUGCCUAGGCACUUGGAACUGAAGAAGGACGCAACAAACGGCGAAACGCGACGGGGAGUGGUACGUACACAAAGAUCCGUCGAUAUCCGAAUGGGGAAACCCGGCAGCAGUAAUGAGCUGUCACCCAUGAGUGAAUACAUAGCUCAUGAGGGAGGUACCCGGAGAACUGAAACAUCUAAGUAUCCGGAGGAAAAGAAAAUAAGAAUGAUUCCGUAAGUAGCGGCGAGCGAACGCGGAGGAGCCCAAACCAGAUCUUGAUCUGGGGUUGUAGGACCACGAAAUGGCAAGAGCAUGGCUAAGAGAACGGCAUUGAAAGGCCGACCGGAGAGGGUGCAAGUCCCGUAACUGAAAGUCUAGCGAAGCCUAGUGGUAUCCUGAGUACGGCGAGACACGAGAAAUCUUGUCGGAAGCAGGCGGGACCAUCCGUCAAGGCUAAAUAUACCCAAGUGACCGAUAGUGAACCAGUACCGUGAGGGAAAGGUGAAAAGAACCGCGGGAGCGGAGUGAAAUAGAACCUGAAACCGUAUGCUUACAAGAAGUCAGAGCCCGUUAAAGGGUGAUGGCGUGCCUUUUGUAGAAUGAACCGGCGAGUUACGUUAUCGUGCGAGGUUAAGUAGAAGAUACGGAGCCGAAGCGAAAGCGAGUCUUAAUAGGGCGACAGUACGAUGAUGUAGACCCGAAACCGUGUGAUCUAGCCAUGACCAGGUUGAAGUUCAGGUGAAACUGAAUGGAGGACCGAACCGACCCCCGUUGAAAAGUUGGCGGAUGAGUUGUGGCUAGGGGAGAAAUUCCAAUCGAACACGGAUAUAGCUGGUUCUCCCCGAAAUAGCUUUAGGGCUAGCGUCGAGGCAGAGUCGCAUGGAGGUAGAGCACUGAAUGUACGAUGGCCCCAUCCCGGGGUACUGAGUAUAAUCAAACUCCGAAUGCCAUGCAGACGUACUCGGCAGUCAGACUGUGGGUGAUAAGGUCCAUGGUCAAAAGGGAAACAGCCCAGACCGCCAGUUAAGGUCCCAAAAUGUAUGCUAAGUGGAAAAGGAUGUGGGGAUGCACAGACAACUAGGAGGUUGGCUCAGAAGCAGCCAUCCUUCAAAGAGUGCGUAACAGCUCACUAGUCGAGUGACCCUGCGCCGAAAAUGUACCGGGGCUAAGCAUACUACCGAAGCUGCGGAUUCAACUUUAGAGUUGAGUGGUAGGGGAGCGUUGCAUGCACGUAGAAGCCGUACCGUAAGGAGCGGUGGAGAGCAUGGAAGAGAGAAUGCCGGUGUGAGUAGCGAGAUGUAGGUGAGAAUCCUACACACCGAUAGCCCAAGGAUUCCAGGGGAAGGUUCGUCCGCCCUGGGUAAGUCGGGACCUAACGCGAGGCCGAAAGGCGUAGUGGAUGGAAAACAGGCAGAUAUUCCUGUACCCGCGAUGGAAAUGAAGGAAUGACGGAGAAGGCUAGUGUGAGCCACUGAACGGAUUGUGGUCAAAGCAUAUAGCAGGCUGACAGUGAAAUGCGUCAGCGGGAUGUAAGAUGUGACAGGUAAGGGAACGUCCUUGGACAAGUACUGAAGCACAUGAUGCCAGCUUCCAAGAAAAGUUUCUAGUGAUAAUUCCAUAGCGGCCCGUACCAAAACCGACACAGGUGGGCAAGGAGAGAAUCCUGAGGUGAGCGAGAGAACUGUUGCCAAGGAACUCGGCAAAAUGACUCCGUAAGUUAGCGAUAAGGAGUGCUCUUGUAAAAGAGAGCCGCAGUGAAGAGGCCCAAGCGACUGUUUAACUAAAACACAGCUCUCUGCAAAGUCGCAAGACGAAGUAUAGGGGGUGACGCCUGCCCGGUGCUGGAAGGUUAAGAGGAUUUGUCAUCCGCAAGGAGAAGCAAUGAAUUGAAGCCCCAGUGAACGGCGGCCGUAACUAUAACGGUCCUAAGGUAGCGAAAUUCCUUGUCGGGUAAG
Molecule: ribosomal RNA, 1959 nt
Filed under: human gut metagenome
Description: bacterial LSU rRNA
Rfam family: Bacterial large subunit ribosomal RNA
Source: RNAcentral